This 384-nucleotide ribosomal RNA is filed under the name bacterium enrichment culture clone ALO1_GLFRUDD03F8ITM. RNAcentral describes it as "bacterial SSU rRNA". It matches the Rfam family "Bacterial small subunit ribosomal RNA", at positions 9 to 396 of the family's 1533-position model. The record is from RNAcentral.
GAGUUUGAUCCUGGCUCAGAUUGAACGCUGGCGGCAUGCCUUACACAUGCAAGUCGAACGGCAGCACGGGAGCUUGCUCCUGGUGGCGAGUGGCGAACGGGUGAGUAAUGCAUCGGAACGUAUCCUGGAGUGGGGGAUAACGUAGCGAAAGUUACGCUAAUACCGCAUAUUCUGUGAGCAGGAAAGCGGGGGACCUUCGGGCCUCGCGCUCUUGGAGCGGCCGAUGUCGGAUUAGCUAGUUGGUGAGGUAAAGGCUCACCAAGGCGACGAUCCGUAGCAGGUCUGAGAGGAUGAUCUGCACACUGGAACUGAGACACGGUCCAGACUCCUACGGGAGGCAGCAGUGGGAAUUUUGGACAAUGGGGCAACCCUGAUCCAGCCAUG